RNAcentral lists this ribosomal RNA (253 nucleotides) under uncultured bacterium. Its description in RNAcentral is "partial 16S ribosomal RNA". It matches the Rfam family "Bacterial small subunit ribosomal RNA", at positions 524 to 776 of the family's 1533-position model. The record is from RNAcentral.
UACGUAGGGUCCGAGCGUUGUCCGGAAUUAUUGGGCGUAAAGGGCUCGUAGGCGGUCCGUCACGUCGGGAGUGAAAACUCAGGGCUCAACCCUGAGCGUGCUUCCGAUACGGGCGGACUAGAGGUAUGCAGGGGAGAACGGAAUUCCUGGUGUAGCGGUGGAAUGCGCAGGAUAUCAGGAGGAACACCGGUGGCGAAGGCGGUCUCUGGGCAUUACCUGACGCUGAGGAGCGAAAGCAUGGGGAGCGAACAGG